This 250-nucleotide ribosomal RNA is filed under the name uncultured bacterium. Its description in RNAcentral is "partial 16S ribosomal RNA". It matches the Rfam family "Bacterial small subunit ribosomal RNA", at positions 524 to 773 of the family's 1533-position model. The record is from RNAcentral.
UACGUAGGGGGCGAGCGUUGUCCGGAAUGACUGGGCGUAAAGGGCGCGUAGGUGGCCUUAUAAGUUUGGAGUGAAAGUCCCGCUUUCAAGGUGGGAAUUGCUUUGGAAACUGUAGGGCUUGAGUGUGGGAGAGGAUAGCGGAAUUCCCGGUGUAGCGGUGAAAUGCGUAGAGAUCGGGAGGAACACCAGUGGCGAAGGCGGCUAUCUGGACCAAGACUGACACUGAGGCGCGAAAGCGUGGGUAGCAAAC